Molecule: ribosomal RNA, 188 nt
Filed under: uncultured bacterium
Lineage: Bacteria
Description: partial 16S ribosomal RNA
Rfam family: Bacterial small subunit ribosomal RNA
Source: RNAcentral
CUGCAACUCGACUCCGUGAAGCUGGAUUCGCUAGUAAUCGCGCAUCAGCCAUGGCGCGGUGAAUACGUUCCCGGGCCUUGUACACACCGCCCGUCAAGCCAUGGGAGCCGGGGGUACCUGAAGUCCGUAACCGCGAGGAUCGGCCUAGGGUAAAACUGGUGACUGGGGCCAAGUCGUAACAAGGUACC